UAUCAAUUAAGCGGAGGAAAAGAAACCAACAGGGAUUGCCCUAGUAACGGCGAGUGAAGCGGCAACAGCUCAAAUUUGAAAUCUGGCUCUUUUAGAGUCCGAGUUGUAAUUUGCAGAGGGCGCUUUGGCUUUGGCAGCGGUCCAAGUUCCUUGGAACAGGACGUCACAGAGGGUGAGAAUCCCGUACGUGGUCGCUGGCUAUUGCCGUGUAAAGCCCCUUCGACGAGUCGAGUUGUUUGGGAAUGCAGCUCUAAAUGGGAGGUACAUUUCUUCUAAAGCUAAAUAUUGGCCAGAGACCGAUAGCGCACAAGUAGAGUGAUCGAAAGAUGAAAAGCACUUUGGAAAGAGAGUCAAACAGCACGUGAAAUUGUUGAAAGGGAAGCGCUUGCAGCCAGACUUGCUUACAGUUGCUCAUCCGGGUUUCUACCCGGUGCACUCUUCUGUAGGCAGGCCAGCAUCAGUUUGGGCGGUAGGAUAAAGGUCUCUGUCACGUACCUCCUUUCGGGGAGGCCUUAUAGGGGAGACGACAUACUACCAGCCUGGACUGAGGUCCGCGCAUCUGCUAGGAUGCUGGCGUAAUGGCUGUAAGCGGCCCGUCUUGAA
Molecule: ribosomal RNA, 603 nt
Filed under: Alternaria alternata
Lineage: Eukaryota; Fungi; Ascomycota; Dothideomycetes; Pleosporales; Pleosporaceae
Description: partial 26S ribosomal RNA
Rfam family: Eukaryotic large subunit ribosomal RNA
Source: RNAcentral